RNAcentral lists this ribosomal RNA (253 nucleotides) under uncultured bacterium. RNAcentral's name for it is "partial 16S ribosomal RNA". It matches the Rfam family "Bacterial small subunit ribosomal RNA", at positions 524 to 776 of the family's 1533-position model. The record is from RNAcentral.
UACAGAGGGUGCUAGCGUUGUUCGGAAUUAUUGGGCGUAAAGGGCGCGUAGGCGGCCCAGUGUGUCGGGUGUGAAAGCCCACCUCUUAAAGGUGGAAUUGCAUUCGAAACUACCGGGCUGGAGUGUCGGAGAGGAUGGCGGAAUUCCUGGUGUAGAGGUGAAAUUCGUAGAUAUCAGGAGGAACACCGGUGGCGAAGGCGGCCAUCUGGACGACAACUGACGCUGAGGCGCGAAAGCGUGGGGAGCAAACAGG